UUGAACGCUGGCGGCAGGCCUAACACAUGCAAGUCGAACGGUAACAGGAAACAGCUUGCUGUUUCGCUGACGAGUGGCGGACGGUUGAGUAAUGUCUGGGAAACUGCCUGAUGGAGGGGGAUAACUACUGGAAACGGUAGCUAAUACCGCAUAACGUCGCAAGACCAAAGAGGGGGUCCCUCGGGCCUCUUGCCAUCUGAUGUGUCCAGAUGGGAUUAGCUUGUUGGUGGGGUAACGGCUCACCAAGGCGACGAUGCCUAGCUGGUCUGAGAGGAUGACCGGCCACACUGGAACUGAGACACGGUCCAGACUCCUACGGGAGGCAGCAGUGGGGAAUAUUGCACAAUGGGCGCAAGCCUGAUGCAGCCAUGCCGCGUGUAUGAUGAAGGCCUUCGGGUUGUAAAGUACUUUCAGCGGGGAGGAAGGGAGUAAAGUGAAUACCUUUGCUCAUUGACGUUACCCGCAGAAGAAGCACCGGCUAACUCCGUG
Molecule: ribosomal RNA, 489 nt
Filed under: uncultured bacterium
Lineage: Bacteria
Description: partial 16S ribosomal RNA
Rfam family: Bacterial small subunit ribosomal RNA
Source: RNAcentral